GACGAACGCUGGCGGCGUGCCUAACACAUGCCAGUCGAACGGAAAGGCCCUGCUUUUGUGGGGUGCUCGAGUGGCGAACGGGUGAGUAACACGUGAGUAACCUGCCCUUGACUUUGGGAUAACUUCAGGAAACUGGGGCUAAUACCGGAUAGGAGCUCCUGCUGCAUGGUGGGGGUUGGAAAGUUUCGGCGGUUGGGGAUGGACUCGCGGCUUAUCAGUUUGUUGGUGGGGUAGUGGCUUACCAAGGCUUUGACGGGUAGCCGGCCUGGGAGGGUGACCGGCCACAUUGGGACUGAGGUACGGCCCAGACUCCUACGGGAGGCAGCAGUGGGAAAUCUUACGCAGUGGGCGCACGCCUGUUGCAGCAGCGCCGCGUGCGGGAUGACGGCCUUCUGGUUGUAAACCGCUUUCGCCUGUGACGAAGCGUGAGUGACGGUAAUGGAUGAAGAAGCACCGGCUAACUACGUG
This 468-nucleotide ribosomal RNA is filed under the name uncultured bacterium. RNAcentral's name for it is "partial 16S ribosomal RNA". It matches the Rfam family "Bacterial small subunit ribosomal RNA", at positions 28 to 507 of the family's 1533-position model. The record is from RNAcentral.